RNAcentral lists this small RNA (29 nucleotides) under Bombyx mori (domestic silkworm). Its description in RNAcentral is "ovarian small RNA-9103". The record is from RNAcentral. Lineage: Eukaryota; Metazoa; Arthropoda; Insecta; Lepidoptera; Bombycidae.
UGUGCGCCUAUUACUCUAUUUAAAUGAGU